Molecule: ribosomal RNA, 253 nt
Filed under: uncultured bacterium
Lineage: Bacteria
Description: partial 16S ribosomal RNA
Rfam family: Bacterial small subunit ribosomal RNA
Source: RNAcentral
UACGAAGGGGGCUAGCGUUGCUCGGAAUCACUGGGCGUAAAGCGUACGUAGGCGGCUUUUUAAGUCAGGGGUGAAAUCCUGGAGCUCAACUCCAGAACUGCCUUUGAUACUGGCGAUCUCGAGUCCGGGAGAGGUGAGUGGAACUGCGAGUGUAGAGGUGAAAUUCGUAGAUAUUCGCAAGAACACCGGUGGCGAAGGCGGCUCACUGGCCCGGUACUAACGCUGAGGUGCGAAAGCGUGGGGAGCAAACAGG